GCCGUUCUUUCCUUCAUCCUUUCUCUCUCUCGCUGACCUGUAGCUAGUUCUAAAGAAGUAUGCCUUCUCUAAACCUCCACGUUGGAUUGGUUACAUAUCGAUUCAUCAGGUCCGAGGGGCCCUAAUACCACUCGAGUACAGAUGUAACUUAAUACACUACAGAAUGAUCAUGUAAUUCGUGGGCCUGGAUCUAGUCCCCCGUAUGGACUUGAUCGAGUCCCCCUCAUGGCCUGGGUCGAAUCCCACUCAUGGACUACAGAAUUGCCAGGACGAUGACUGAAUUCCCCGGGCCACCUUAAUUCGUCAUUCUGGGCCACCGUACCGGACCCUGAAUGUAUCCUCUUGGCCUUAUCUCCACCACCACGAGGCGGUGAAGGACUGGUGACUCGAAGCAGCGGGAGGUCCACCUAGUUCCCUUUCUACCAUGAAAGCUCUGAAUCGACGACCAGCCAGAUGAGGUCUGCUUGGACUGAAAAUGUAAAUCAAUGCACCUCCAAGUCUGAGUCACGAGAGAGCGGGUUGACUUGUGACUAGUUUGAAACCUGGCUCCUCCUAGCUGAGUGUUAGGUGUCGGUAACCCUAACGACGAGCUCUGGCUGUGUAUGAAUGGUUGUAAGUCGCUUAGGAUAAAUUGGCUUCCAAAUGCAACUCGGAAGAUAUUGUCUUCAAGACCAGAAUCAUUGUUGGACCCGCUCUGGAUUAAAGCUUCUGCUAAAUGCCCUGAAUGUAAAUGCCCCUGCUAAUACAAAUGUGUUGCUCUUAACAAUAAAACUGAAAAAUAAAUUGCUGUUUUCGUUGGUUUCUGUU
Gadus chalcogrammus (walleye pollock) is the source of this 807-nucleotide long non-coding RNA. RefSeq lists it as uncharacterized. The transcript has 5 exons. NCBI's taxonomy places the organism in Eukaryota, Metazoa, Chordata, Actinopteri, Gadiformes, Gadidae. The record is from RefSeq and is a predicted model, not a curated record.